Molecule: non-coding RNA, 85 nt
Organism: Flavobacterium fryxellicola
Lineage: Bacteria; Pseudomonadati; Bacteroidota; Flavobacteriia; Flavobacteriales; Flavobacteriaceae
Source: Rfam
UGCUAACGAGUGCGUGAGUGAUGGAAGCGGCAUCCUUUCCUUUUUUCUUUAAAAAGGAAAGAUACAGCGUACAGCACGACCCAGA